CCUACGGGCGGCAGCAGUAGGGAAUCUUCCACAAUGGGCGAAAGCCUGAUGGAGCAACGCCGCGUGGGGGAUGAAGGUCUUCGGAUCGUAAAACCCUUUUGUUAGAGAAGAAAGUGCGUGUGAGUAACUGUUCACGUUUCGACGGUAUCUAACCAGAAAGCCACGGCUAACUACGUGCCAGCAGCUGCGGUAAUACGUAGGUGGCAAGCGUUAUCCGGAUUUAUUUGGCGUAAAGGGAACGCAGGCGGGCUUUUAAGUCUGAUGUGAAAGCCUUCGGCUUAACCGGAGUAGUGCAUUGGAAACUGGGAGACUUGAGUGCAGAAGAGGAGAGUGGAACUCCAUGUGUAGCGGUGAAAUGCGUAGAUAUAUGGAAGAACACCAGUGGCGAAGGCGAGAACUUAGGCUAUCACUGACGCUUAGGCUCGAAAGUGUGGGGAGCAAAUAGGAUUAGAUACCCCGGUAGUC
Molecule: ribosomal RNA, 465 nt
Filed under: uncultured bacterium
Lineage: Bacteria
Description: partial 16S ribosomal RNA
Rfam family: Bacterial small subunit ribosomal RNA
Source: RNAcentral